RNAcentral lists this long non-coding RNA (312 nucleotides) under Elaeis guineensis (African oil palm). Its description in RNAcentral is "long non-coding RNA (EGUI_LNC068475)". The record is from RNAcentral. Lineage: Eukaryota; Viridiplantae; Streptophyta; Magnoliopsida; Arecales; Arecaceae.
AGACUGAAUUGUUAAAUAUGUUGGUAACUAUUGAAGGGGCCUUGAAGGGUUCAAGGGAUAUAGUUCUCACAUGUGAAUUAUCAUUGGAAGGCACUCACUUGGGUGUCUUGUGGAUGUAAAUCAACAAAACCUAUUAAUCAGUGAUCAAUCAAGAUCCUCUUGGAGAUACACCUUUUUCUUAGAUGUUUUAUUUUCUACCUCUAUCUAUUUGAUUAUAAUUAUCAAGAUGAUUUUGGAUUCUAGGGUUUGGAUCAAAAGGCUUUCAAUUGUUUAAUCCAUGAUAAAUAUUUUAAAUUUUCAUAUUUUACUAUA